This is a long non-coding RNA of Corapipo altera (White-ruffed manakin), 987 nucleotides long. RefSeq lists it as uncharacterized. The transcript is spliced from 7 exons. NCBI's taxonomy places the organism in Eukaryota, Metazoa, Chordata, Aves, Passeriformes, Pipridae. The record is from RefSeq and is a predicted model, not a curated record.
UGGUGCUCACACCCUCAGCGCUCCUCGGCAGCUCCUUCAGAGACCUGCUCAGCUGCUUGCCUUUGCUGUGGAACAUCUCACGCUUGUGGACAAGAUUUCUCUCUUGGGUAGGGUGGCUCUGUACCCAGAAGUGUGUCAGGAGUACUUGGAGGUCUGCUACCCUCCUCGUGUUCCAGGUCUUCAUUGCAUUGGAAGAGGAGACUAUAGUGUGAGAUGAAAACCCGGAGGCGCUGCACACACACCAGCAGCAGGCACUUAGAAUCCGAGAAAUCAACAGCAGAAAGGCUUUCCCUGCCAAACAUCAAUCCUUGGCAUUGACCAUCAGGUAUUGGACACUUCAGGAACACAGGUUUGUCCUCAUAUCUCAGCUGCAAGUAUGAAAAUGGAGUUUAAUAUUUUCGUACCUGGACCUGCUAUGACUUUCACACCUCCUUCUCCCAUUGGCAUGAUCCUGGUGUCAGACACUGUUGAAGAACAAAGGUUCUGGGAGGUUAAUGGAUCGAAAUGGGCUGCCCUGGAGAGGUGUUGGUACUGUCUGUGACCCAUGAUCAUCUUUCUGUGCUCUUCUGUACAAAUAGAGAACAAGACAGAUGGGAAGUAUGAAUGCUACAGGUGGAGUUCCUAUGCUACAGUUAUGGCAAACAUUACUGAAGGACGCUCCCUGGGCUGUGGUGCAGACAACCUUGUUGCAUCUGUGGUGUCUCAUAGCGGCAAGAAUGUCAACACAAAGAGUGGCCACAGAGCUCUGGAGGACCUGAUCACCCUGAGCCAAUGCUGACUCCAAGACAGGGUUUCCAAGCUCCUGGCUGGGAAGGCAGACAAAGACAUGCAGAAAGACUCAACACUCUGGCUGAUCUGGAUUAUCAGGCAAGAGCACCCCAUGGUCUGAGACGCUGUGAGGCUGCCAGGAUAACCCAAAGCCCCAUAGAAGACUUGGGCCCCUUCUGCAGAAGACACCCCUGCCCCAUGUCAAUCAACAGAUCCUUG